Molecule: long non-coding RNA, 597 nt
Filed under: Ricinus communis (castor bean)
Lineage: Eukaryota; Viridiplantae; Streptophyta; Magnoliopsida; Malpighiales; Euphorbiaceae
Description: long non-coding RNA (RCOM_LNC002635)
Source: RNAcentral
CGCCUAUAGACCGAAAUAACUCGCAUAUAAUGAUUCUAGCUUUUGAUUCCCAAAUUCAGAGCCCGAUCAUCUCGAAUCAUCCUGACAGUUCCCAACCAUCGAUUUUUUCUUUCACGGAGCCCGAUCGCCACGAAACAAGUGUCAUCGGAAAGCUUGCGACCAGAUGAAUUUGAUUGUAUCCUCUGAUCAUCUGAAACUCAAUAGCAUUGGCCGAAAAGUUCAAAAAUCCAAACUGGUACCUAUUUUCUCUCUCCAUCAGAAAACAUCAUUUCUGGUCACCAUUGACGCUGCUGCUGCCCUCAACAGACAGCCCACGCCUAGAUGAGUUGAUCACCAUCUAUUUCAGCUGCCACUGUCAUCGGGAACGCAACGAACGCAUUGAAAAUCUAUUGUCGUUCCUUCACCAUUGCUGCCACCUGACACCAUCGAAGCUGUUGUCGUCGCUAGUACUGCACUUACCGCCGCCUGCUCCACCUCCGGCCAACUCCACCUCAGCUCAGAAAAGCUCUCCUCUCAUCUGCCAUUGAUGGCAGCCCAAGCUUCUUCCCCCUCUUCCUCGUCUCCUUCUUCUCCUUCCCUUUCUUUUCUUUUUUUUUG